Molecule: ribosomal RNA, 393 nt
Filed under: Anas carolinensis (green-winged teal)
Lineage: Eukaryota; Metazoa; Chordata; Aves; Anseriformes; Anatidae
Description: partial 12S ribosomal RNA
Rfam family: Bacterial small subunit ribosomal RNA
Source: RNAcentral
GCCUGGCCCUAAAUCUUGAUACUUACUCUACCGAAGUAUCCGCCAGAGAACUACGAGCACAAACGCUUAAAACUCUAAGGACUUGGCGGUGCCCUAAACCCACCUAGAGGAGCCUGUUCUGUAAUCGAUGAUCCACGAUCAACCCUACCGCCCCUUGCCAAACACAGCCUACAUACCGCCGUCGCCAGCCCACCUCGAAUGAGAGCACAACAGUGGGCGCAACAGCACCCCGCUAAUAAGACAGGUCAAGGUAUAGCCUAUGGGACGGGAGAAAUGGGCUACAUUCCCUAUACAUAGGGCAACACGAAAAGAAGUAUGAAACUACUUCUAGAAGGCGGAUUUAGCAGUAAAGCGGGAUAAUAAAGCCCGCUUUAAGCCGGCCCUAGGGCACGU